RNAcentral lists this long non-coding RNA (914 nucleotides) under Calidris pygmaea (Spoon-billed sandpiper). RNAcentral describes it as "lncRNA (ENSCPGG00000012170.1)". Lineage: Eukaryota; Metazoa; Chordata; Aves; Charadriiformes; Scolopacidae. The record is from RNAcentral.
UUUACUUCACAUCAAGUGAAAGAGCUUAUAUGCGAGGAAGAGCCCGGCAGAAUGGAGAGAAGACCCUGUUUUGGAGAGGUAGGAUGUGGGAAGGGGAGGAGAAACUGAACAAAGAGGCUCAACAUUCUGCAGGAGCUAUUUGUGCCAGUCAUGUACCGAGCUCUGAGCCAACGACCGUCCCACAACUGCCAAGAACGCAGUUGAAGCCGGAGUCUCCCAUAUUUUCAUCUUUCCACUUGUUCCCUGGCCAACAUCCUCAGCUUCUGUUCAAGCUACCAUCUCCCUCAGCCUGUGCAGCGAUCUUCUCCCUCUCCACUGCUCCUUGCCCAGCGGCAGCCAGCACGAGGAGGCAAGAAAUAACUGUAAAUGGGAGAGACUUCUCUGGUUUGGUUGGCAUGGGGUCCUGAUUGCCAACCGCCUGUCUCCCCUGCUGGCUGGUGGCAACUCUUUUUGGAGGCGAGGAGGGAGGCAGAUGCUCAGCGAAACUCAUCCAGGGAGCAGUGCUGGAGGGAGCAGAAGAGCAAACGGCAGCAGAGAUGUUGCAGAAAGGAUGAGCAAAAAUAGUGGGAACAUGGAAAAGCAGGCAAGGCAGGCUUGCUGAGGGCUGCUAGUUGUGUGCUCCUGCACCAAGCCUUCCUCCGCUGGUCGGGACUGAAACACUCUUCACACUCUUCAUUCCUGCAAGCACCCCUGCUCAACUCAGGCAAGUUGGUCACCUGGACACCUUACGUGGUUGUUCUCCCUCCAGAUGGCAGAUGGUGAUGCCAAGACAAGCUUUGCGGUGGUUUUCCAGCUGUGGAUGCCAGAUGGUGCUUCUUGGACAGCCACAAAGAUAAAGCCAACUUUUUCCUGACUCAGCUUGGCUUCCAGAGCCUCAGCUGCUAUCGCAGAGGUGAAAGAUGCUAUCACAACAA